Molecule: ribosomal RNA, 462 nt
Filed under: uncultured bacterium
Lineage: Bacteria
Description: partial 16S ribosomal RNA
Rfam family: Bacterial small subunit ribosomal RNA
Source: RNAcentral
GAUGAACGCUGACAGAAUGCUUAACACAUGCAAGUCAUACGCCAAGAUACGCAUGCGCAGUCUAGACAAGGCGGAAGGGGGAGUCACGCGUAAGGAACAUGCCCAUCUGCCAGGGCUAACAGACGGAAACGACUGAUCAUACCUUGUAUCGUCAGGCUGCCGCAUGCCGAAAGGAUGAAAGGAGACGCUCUUGUGGAGUCUGGCGUACCAUUAGCUGAUUGGUGGGGUAACGGCCCAACAAGGCGAUAAGACGUGGCCGGCCUGAGAGGGUGAACGGCCACAAGGGGACUGGGAGACAGCCCUUAGGCCUACGGGAGGCAGCAGUGAGGAAUAUUGGACAAUGACGGCAAGGCUGAUCCAGGAAUUCUGUGUGCACGAAGAAGGUUUUCGGAAUGUAAAGUGCUUGCAGCAUGGAAGGAGAAAGUGACGGUACCUGAAGAAGAAGCGACGGCUAAAUACGUG